RNAcentral lists this ribosomal RNA (253 nucleotides) under uncultured bacterium. RNAcentral's name for it is "partial 16S ribosomal RNA". It matches the Rfam family "Bacterial small subunit ribosomal RNA", at positions 524 to 776 of the family's 1533-position model. The record is from RNAcentral.
UACAGAGGAUGCAAGCGUUAUCCGGAAUGAUUGGGCGUAAAGAGCUUGUAGGCGGUUUGUCGCGUCUGCCGUGAAAAUUCGAGGCUCAACCUCGAACUUGCGGUGGGUACGGGCAGACUAGAGUGUGGUAGGGGAGACUGGAAUUCCUGGUGUAGCGGUGAAAUGCGCAGAUAUCAGGAGGAACACCGAUGGCGAAGGCAGGUCUCUGGGCCACUACUGACGCUGAGACGCGAAAGCGUGGGGAGCAAACAGG